GGUUAGGAAUUAGUUGAACAAGCUAAGAUAAGGGGAAAAAUUUAUUAUUAUCAUUAUUAUUGUUUUGAUCAUGAAUUAUCGAUGAUCAAUGUGAACUAUUAGCUUUAUUUUAAUUUGCAAUACACCUUAUAUUAUUACGAUUGUCAAUUUUAUUAUUAUUAUUAUUAUUAGUAAAAGAAAAGAAAGAAGAACAGAUCUGAAAGACAUAAACUUCAACAAUAUCAUGAGCUUCGAAAAAAGAUCUAAAAAGAUGCAAGCUUCAAUAACAAGAAAACAGUAGCGGUGACAACGCAAAACAAAGUAGAAGCGCGAUGAGACUAUGCAAAACAAGUGAUGGCAAGCUAAAACAAAAAAAGCGGCACAAAAAAGAUUGAACAGAAAAGCAAAAAAAAUGACUUUACACAGAAAUAGAGUAGAGCAGCGCGAGAAUCGAAAAAGAUUGAACGAGACUGAUGAUGUUGGGUGUACGUGUAAGAGCUAAACACGAAGGAAAUAAAAAUUAUGAUGAUGUUGGGUGUACGUGUAAGAGCUAAACACGAAGGAAAUAAAAAUUAAGACUGGGAGAUGAUUGAGAGUAAGAUGCAAAAAAUCCUAAAUGAGAGGAUAUUUGUCUUUUUCUAUUAAUUUGAUCUUAAUUUGAUGAUAAAAAAUUUUAAAAAUAAAAAAUUUUAAAAAUUGUUGAUUAAAAAGAUUGUCUCUGAACUUUUCAUUGUGAAAAAAUGAAAAUGAACAAGUAGCAUAUAUAAGUCAUAAAAUCAACAGUAAUAUGAGACAUAAUAGGCAGCUGCAUGGUGUAUGUGUUUCCUUGAGGGUUGUUUAUGGCUGUAAAAGUUGAGUUAGUUCUCAUGACCAAAUAUCACUACAACAUUCUUACUAAUUGGUGGAGGUUUUAUAGUGGAAGUUUUUAAAAAUCUCUCCAACAUAAUCUAUUUGUAGCAAUUUACAAACCCCCCAAAUAAAUUUACACAGCUUAAAACAACCACACACCCAAAGGCCCAUCCAAAUACUCAAAGUCCGUACCAAAGAUGCAAAAUAAGGAUAGCUUUGAAUGAGAAGGAGAGUGAACAAGACCAAUUGAUCGAAACCCUAAAUUGUAGUCUUCGUCAACGUCGCUACUGCCACCAUCGGCACCACCACCGCCACCGCCAUUCAUCUCCUUGCCACUAGCGCCAAUGCCACCACGUGCUUCGACAAUCUCGUUUUCUGUCUCUUCUUUCACCGCGUAUCUUGAGGUUGCGUCACGGAGGAAAAGUAAUACGAAGCUACUCUUAGUAGAGGAAUUAUUUGACUAAUCUGACGGUAAAUCCGACGGUACUCAACUUUUUUCUUGUAGUGAUACUUGGUUGGUACCAAGAAUCAAGUGAUCUUCUUUCAACCAUGCAAUGGCUUUUGAUUGUUUGCUUUUGCAAAUUCAGAUAGGGGUUUAGACACAGAUGAUAGAAGGUCAACUACAGGCUUUUAUGUCUAUUUAGGAUCCAAUAUGAUCUCAUGGGCAAGUAGAAAGCAACAUUUAGUAAGCAAAUCCAGUGCUGAAGCUGAAAUUCAAGAGCAUUGCAGUAGCAGAAACAGAUGUUCAAUGGAUCCGUCACCUGUUUAUAGAACAUCAAAUCAAAUGCACUCGUGUUCUAGUACUUUAUAUUGACAACAUUAGUACUGUGAUGCUCACUGCCAAUCUAGUUCUACACAACAAAACCAAGCACUUCAAUUUGAAUCUUCAUUCAGUUAGAGAAAGAGUCAAUUGAACACAACUUGUUAUAAUGUACAUUCCAGCAAUUGACUAAGUAGUAGACCUCCUUACCAAACCUCUCUUCCUUCACAGUUUUGAGAAAUUCAAAAUCAAACUCAAGGUAUUGUCUAAGAAAAUCAUGAGUUUGAAGCGAGUAUUAAGUAUGAAAGAGUCGAAGUAACUUAGUGAGCAAGAAGAAGAAGAACUCUUCUUUUGAUAAUUCUGUAUUAUAACUACUUUCAGAUGUCAUUACUAGUUUAGGCUGAGUCAGAUAUAUUUAAUUAGCUCUUUCUAUAUAUAAAUAGCAAGACUGCUUUUAUUGUAGAGUAAUGUAGUUACACUUUUCAUAAUCAAUUCCAUUAUGUUCUUCA
Molecule: long non-coding RNA, 2097 nt
Organism: Arachis duranensis
Lineage: Eukaryota; Viridiplantae; Streptophyta; Magnoliopsida; Fabales; Fabaceae
Exons: 2
Source: RefSeq, a predicted model, not a curated record